UACGGAGGGUGCGAGCGUUGUCCGGAAUCACUGGGCGUAAAGGGCGCGUAGGUGGCGCGGGCAGUCAACGGUGAAAGUUCGGGGCUCAACCCUGAAUCGGCCGUCGAUACUCCCGGGCUGGAGCACUGUAGAGGCUAAUGGAAUUCCGGGUGUAGCGGUGGAAUGCGUAGAGAUCCGGAAGAACACCGGUGGCGAAGGCGGUUAGCUGGGCAGUUGCUGGACACUGAGGCGCGACAGCGUGGGGAGCAAACAGGG
Molecule: ribosomal RNA, 255 nt
Filed under: uncultured bacterium
Lineage: Bacteria
Description: partial 16S ribosomal RNA
Rfam family: Bacterial small subunit ribosomal RNA
Source: RNAcentral